GGGGGGGGGAUUGCCCGGGUGGGGCUUGCACCGCGCUGCACGCAGGGAGGAGCCGGUGCGGGUGCAGCUUGCACGGGCGCGUGCGUGUGCAAGCAGGGUGUGGCGUGCACUGUGCGCGUGCAAACGGGGUGUGGCGUGCACCUUGCAUGUGCAAGGGGGGUGCAGUUUGCACUUUGCAAGCAGGGUGCACCUUGCACGGUGCAUGUACAAAGGGGGUGCACCUUGCACGCUGCACGUACAAGUGGGGUGCAGCUUGCACUGUGCAUGCACAAAGGGGGUGCACCUUGCACUUUGCACGUGCACAUGGGAUGCACCUUGCACUGUGCAUGCACAAAGGGGGUGCACCUUGCACGCUGCAUGUGCAAGCAGGGUGCAGCUUGCAAUUUGCACACACAAAGCAGGGUGCAGGCUCGCACCACGCGCAGGCAGGCUGCAGUUUGCACUUUGCACGUGCACCUCCAGGAUUUGUGGGGUGCGCCUUGGGGACCUAUAGGGCCGCGUGUAAGGGCACCUAUAGGUUGGGGAGAGCCUGCGUGUGCCAUAGGGGAUGCUGCGUGUGGCUGCAGCCCUUGGAGAGCCCCGGGGCGUGCUCUAUAGGGGCUCGGCGCGUGCGUGCCCCGGGGCGGCGCUCUACAGGGGAUGCUGCACUUGUGUGUGCGCACGCGCAUGGCCGGGUGUGCUCCAUAGGGGAUGAUCUGUUUUGUCUGCGGGCACGUGCGGCGCGGCGUGCCCUAUAGGGGACGCAGGGCACGUGGGGCGUGCUGUGCUGUAGGGUAUAUAACCUAUAGGGGAUGCGGGGCGAGUAGGGUGUCAUUUGUAGUUGAGGGGCUUUAUAUAGGGGAUGCAAAGGCUUGUGGGGCGCGCUCUCUAGGGGAUGCAGGGCACGUGGGGUGUGCUCUAUAAGGGGUGUGUUCUAUAGGGGGUGUGCUCUGUAUAUGAGAUAUAGGGCAUGUGGGUCAUACUCUGUAGAGGAGUACUCUAUAGGGGGCAUACUCUGUAUAGGGCAUGCAGGGCAUGUGGGGUGUGCUCUAUAGGGGGUGUGCUCUAUAAGGGAUGCAGGGUAUGUGGGGUUGCUGUAGAGGGGAUGUAAUAUAUAGGGGUUGUAGAGCACCAGGGGCAUAAUUUAUAGGGGAUGCAGGGCAUGCAAGGCGUAAUUGAUAGGGUGGCACUGUAUAUAGGGCAUGUGGGGCAUAAUUUAUAGGGGGUGAAGGGUGGGUGGAACAUACCCUAUAUAGGGCACGUACCCUAUAUAGGAAAUGUUACCCUAUAGGGGGUGUACCCCGCAUAGGGGUCUCAAGGCAGGGGGGGGAGUGCUCUCCAGGGGCUGCGGAGUGUGUGGGGCAGGCUC
This 1348-nucleotide long non-coding RNA is filed under the name Anas zonorhyncha (Eastern spot-billed duck). Its description in RNAcentral is "lncRNA (ENSAZOG00000014217.1)". The record is from RNAcentral. Lineage: Eukaryota; Metazoa; Chordata; Aves; Anseriformes; Anatidae.